GUUCUCAAGGUGUAUUUAUUAUAUGCACAUUAGGUUUUCAUCCUAAAAGAAUGGCCAAUUAGCCAUUGGGAAUU
Molecule: transfer RNA, 74 nt
Filed under: Melanoides tuberculata
Lineage: Eukaryota; Metazoa; Mollusca; Gastropoda; Thiaridae
Description: tRNA-Glu
Source: RNAcentral